Molecule: ribosomal RNA, 253 nt
Filed under: uncultured bacterium
Lineage: Bacteria
Description: partial 16S ribosomal RNA
Rfam family: Bacterial small subunit ribosomal RNA
Source: RNAcentral
UACAGGGGUCUCAAGCGUUGUUCGGAUUCAUUGGGCGUAAAGGGCGCGUAGGCGGCUUAUCAAGUCAGGGGUGAAAUCCGGCAGCUCAACUGUCGAAGUGCCUUUGAUACUGAUGAGCUCGAGGGAGGUAGGGGUCUGUGGAACUUCUGGUGGAGCGGUGAAAUGCGUUGAUAUCAGAAGGAACGCCGGUGGCGAAAGCGACGGACUGGAUCUCUUCUGACGCUGAGGCGCGAAAGCUAGGGGAGCAAACGGG